GAUGAACGCUGGCGGCGUGCCUAAUACAUGCAAGUCGAGCGAACAGAUGAGGAGCUUGCUCCUCUGACGUUAGCGGCGGACGGGUGAGUAACACGUGGAUAACCUACCUAUAAGACUGGGAUAACUUCGGGAAACCGGAGCUAAUACCGGAUAAUAUAUUGAACCGCAUGGUUCAAUAGUGAAAGACGGUUUUGCUGUCACUUAUAGAUGGAUCCGCUGCGCAUUAGCUAGUUGGUAAGGUAACGGCUUACCAAGGCAACGAUGCGUAGCCGACCUGAGAGGGUUGACGGCCCAACUGGAACUGGAGAACGGGCCAGACUCCUACGGGAGGCAGCCGGAGGGAAUCUUCCGCAAUGGGCGGAAGCCUGACGGGGCAACGCCGCGUGAGGGAUGAAAGGCUUCGGAUCGGAAAACUCUGUUAUUAGGGAAGAACAAAUGGGUAAGUAACUAUGCACGGCUUGACGGUAACUAAUCAGAAAGACACGGCUAACUACGGG
RNAcentral lists this ribosomal RNA (497 nucleotides) under uncultured bacterium. Its description in RNAcentral is "partial 16S ribosomal RNA". It matches the Rfam family "Bacterial small subunit ribosomal RNA", at positions 28 to 507 of the family's 1533-position model. The record is from RNAcentral.